GUGGGUAGAGCUCAGAGGUAGAGUGCAUGCCUAGCAUGCACAAGGUCCUGGGUUCAAUCCCCAGUACCUCCU
Molecule: transfer RNA, 72 nt
Filed under: Camelus bactrianus (Bactrian camel)
Lineage: Eukaryota; Metazoa; Chordata; Mammalia; Artiodactyla; Camelidae
Also listed under: 2 other names
Rfam family: tRNA
About the family: Transfer RNA (tRNA) molecules are approximately 80 nucleotides in length. Their secondary structure includes four short double-helical elements and three loops (D, anti-codon, and T loops). Further hydrogen bonds mediate the characteristic L-shaped molecular structure. tRNAs have two regions of fundamental functional importance: the anti-codon, which is responsible for specific mRNA codon recognition, and the 3' end, to which the tRNAs corresponding amino acid is attached (by aminoacyl-tRNA synthetases). tRNAs cope with the degeneracy of the genetic code in two manners: having more than one tRNA (with a specific anti-codon) for a particular amino acid; and 'wobble' base-pairing, i.e. permitting non-standard base-pairing at the 3rd anti-codon position.
Source: Rfam by way of RNAcentral